This 660-nucleotide ribosomal RNA is filed under the name uncultured bacterium. RNAcentral describes it as "partial 16S ribosomal RNA". It matches the Rfam family "Bacterial small subunit ribosomal RNA", at positions 718 to 1378 of the family's 1533-position model. The record is from RNAcentral.
AAGGCAGCNUCCUGGGAUAACACUGACGUUCAUGCCCGAAAGCGUGGGUAGCAAACAGGAUUAGAUACCCUGGUAGUNUACGCCCUAAACGAUGUCGAUUAGCUGUUGGGCAGCAUGACUGCUUAGUAGCGAAGCUAACGCGUGAAAUCGACCGCCUGGGGAGUACGGUCGCAAGAUUAAAACUCAAAGGAAUUGACGGGGACCCGCACAAGCGGUGGAUGAUGUGGAUNAAUUCGAUGCAACGCGAAGAACCUUACCUGGUCUUGACAUGUACGGAACCCUCCAGAGACGGAGGGGUGCCUUCGGGAGCCGUAACACAGGUGCUGCAUGGCUGUCGUCAGCUCGUGUCGUGAGAUGUUGGNNNNNNNNNNNNANNCGAGCGCAACCCUUGUCAUUAGUUGCCAUCAUUAAGUUGGGCACUCUAAUGAGACUGCCGGUGACAAGCCGGAGGAAGGUGGGGAUGACGUCAAGUCCUCAUGGCCCUUAUGACCAGGGCUUCACACGUCAUACAAUGGUCGGUACAGAGGGUAGCCAAGCCGCGAGGUGGAGCCAAUCUCACAAAACCGAUCGUAGUCCGGAUUGCACUCUGCAACUCGAGUGCAUGAAGUCGGAAUCGCUAGUAAUCGCAGGUCAGCAUACUGCGGUGAAUACGUUCCCGGG